CCGCCGAACGCCGCCCGAACAAGGAGAGGCACCAACUUCGGCGGAAGUCGUGACAACUAGUACAGACCUGGCUGCUGCAGGGGCAUGCUACCCACAAGCUGACCCCCAAACAGUGCAGAUAGGGAUCAUGGCCCCAAUUCUGACUGUAACCUAACGUAUGGAACCUCUGAUGGAAAAAACAGAGCUGUUCCCACGUGUCGGUCAGAGGAUGAGCCUCCCCAGCCACAGACCAGACCGGCAACACACCAACCAACCAGCCCCGCACGCACACGCAUGCACACACACACGAGCACACGCACAUGUGUGCAUACGCGCACACACACCAACCAGCCCUACAGUAUACCGCUUACUGCGCUUAUCUGACUGGACCACAUGUGGGCGCCAGCUAGGGCUAUCUCUCCGGCCAUCAUUAAAAAGCAUUUCAUCUGACAGGGGCUUGGCAAACUGUCGAAGGUUGGAACAUUGGUGGACUGACAGGGCCGAGGGGAUGAAAGAUUGUGCCGAGCGUUGCCAGGUUGUGCAUAUAGGAUAAGGGGUUCCCGUGGAGAGCGUUGCCAGGUGUGAAGUGAACUAGGCCUUUGUGUUGUUGAUGUUGGGCCCCUGGCUAAAGCUGGACAGCUGUUCUGGUCCUAUUAGUAGUGCUACUCUGGAUCUGGAGCUGGCCCUCAAUCCAGUCCAGCUGUGGGAGGGAGGGAGUCAUUGUCAUUGUGACCCUUGUAAAUCUUGUGUUUAGAACUGACUCUCUGGACAGGACAGGAAGUCAGUUAAGAGGCAUUGUUUGAAGAAGGCCUUUCUGAUCCAAGGUGUCAUUGCAUUUUCUCUCUAACAUCUUUCAACUGCGUAUUAUUGUGUACUAUGAUAUAGCUUUCUUAUGAAACUCUGACAUUGUUCAUCAAUUCUCUGUUCUCUCCCAUAUAAUUCAGUCUGUGGGCCUUGUCUCGCUGCUACCACAGAGCUGUGUAUGUGCAGUGAAGCUGCAGGUGGACACCUGAGGGUACACUAAUUGAGGGGCUGAGUCAUUACAUUUUUUGUCAUUUACAUUAACUCUCCCGUGUGUGUGUGUGUGUGUGUGUGUGUGUGUGUGUGUGUGUGUGUGUGUGUG
Molecule: long non-coding RNA, 1102 nt
Filed under: Salmo salar (Atlantic salmon)
Lineage: Eukaryota; Metazoa; Chordata; Actinopteri; Salmoniformes; Salmonidae
Description: lncRNA (ENSSSAG00000087009.1)
Source: RNAcentral